Molecule: ribosomal RNA, 519 nt
Filed under: uncultured eukaryote
Lineage: Eukaryota
Description: SSU rRNA
Rfam family: Eukaryotic small subunit ribosomal RNA
Source: RNAcentral
AGGGCACCACCAGGAGUGGAGCCUGCGGCUUAAUUUGACUCAACACGGGGAAACUUACCCGGCCUGGACACUGGAAGGAUUGACAGAUUGAGAGCUCUUUCUUGAUUCAGUGGGUGGUGGUGCAUGGCCGUUCUUAGUUGGUGGAGCGAUUUGUCUGGUUAAUUCCGAUAACGAACGAGACUCUAGCCUAUUAAAUAGGCUCUCGGCUUUUAAACGCCGGGAGGACUUCUUAGAGGGACAGGUGGCGGUUCAGCCGCACGAAAGAGAGCAAUAACAGGUCUGUGAUGCCCUUUGUUGUCCGGGGCCGCACGCGCGCUACACUGAAGAGAUCAGCGUGCUUUACGUUCCUGCUCCGACCGGAGUGGGGAACCCAGUGAACCUUCUUCGUGAUUGGGAUAGAAGAUUGUAAUUAUUCUUCUUGAACGAGGAAUUCCCAGUAAAUGCGAGUCAUAAGCUCGCGUUGAUUACGUCCCUGCCCUUUGUACACACCGCCCGUCGCUACUACCGAUUGAACGAUAU